GACGUACGCUGGCGGCGUGCUUAACACAUGCAAGUCGAACGGAAAGGCCCUGCUUUUGUGGGGUGCUCGAGUGGCGAACGGGUGAGUAACACGUGAGUAACCUGCCCUUGACUUUGGGAUAACUUCAGGAAACUGGGGCUAAUACCGGAUAGGAGCUCCUGCUGCAUGGUGGGGGUUGGAAAGUUUCGGCGGUUGGGGAUGGACUCGCGGCUUAUCAGCUUGUUGGUGGGGUAGUGGCUUACCAAGGCUUUGACGGGUAGCCGGCCUGAGAGGGUGACCGGCCACAUUGGGACUGAGACACGGCCCAGACUCCUACGGGAGGCAGCAGUGGGGAAUAUUGCACAAUGGGCGGAAGCCUGAUGCAGCAACGCCGCGUGCGGGAUGACGGCCUUCGGGUUGUAAACCGCUUUCGCCUGUGACGAAGCGUGAGUGACGGUAAUGGGUAAAGAAGCACCGGCUAACUACGUG
This 468-nucleotide ribosomal RNA is filed under the name uncultured bacterium. RNAcentral describes it as "partial 16S ribosomal RNA". It matches the Rfam family "Bacterial small subunit ribosomal RNA", at positions 28 to 507 of the family's 1533-position model. The record is from RNAcentral.